CAGUCGCCGCGGUAAUACGAAGGGGGCAAGCGUUGUUCGGAUUUACUGGGCGUAAAGCGUACGUAGGCGGCUUCUUAAGUCGGAUGUGAAAUCCCUGAGCUUAACUUAGGAAUUGCAUUCGAUACUGGGAAGCUAGAGUAUGGGAGAGGAUGGUAGAAUUCCAGGUGUAGCGGUGAAAUGCGUAGAGAUCUGGAGGAAUACCGAUGGCGAAGGCAGCCAUCUGGCCUAAUACUGACGCUGAGGUACGAAAGCAUGGGGAGCAAACAGGAUUAGAUACCCCCGUAGUCCCUGUCUCUUAUAC
This 301-nucleotide ribosomal RNA is filed under the name uncultured bacterium. Its description in RNAcentral is "partial 16S ribosomal RNA". It matches the Rfam family "Bacterial small subunit ribosomal RNA", at positions 509 to 807 of the family's 1533-position model. The record is from RNAcentral.